UACGUAGGGUGCAAGCGUUGUCCGGAAUUAUUGGGCGUAAAGAGCUCGUAGGCGGUCUGUUGCGUCGGCUGUGAAAACCCGGGGCUCAACCCCGGGCCUGCAGCCGAUACGGGCAGACUAGAGUUCGGCAGGGGAGACCGGAAUUCCUGGUGUAGCGGUGAAAUGCGCAGAUAUCAGGAGGAACACCGGUGGCGAAGGCGGGUCUCUGGGCCGAUACUGACGCUGAGGAGCGAAAGCGUGGGGAGCGAACAGG
Molecule: ribosomal RNA, 253 nt
Filed under: uncultured bacterium
Lineage: Bacteria
Description: partial 16S ribosomal RNA
Rfam family: Bacterial small subunit ribosomal RNA
Source: RNAcentral